GGGGAAUAUACUGUAUGAAUGUGU
This 24-nucleotide non-coding RNA is filed under the name Cricetulus griseus (Chinese hamster). The record is from RNAcentral. Lineage: Eukaryota; Metazoa; Chordata; Mammalia; Rodentia; Cricetidae.